This 418-nucleotide ribosomal RNA is filed under the name Clostridioides difficile. RNAcentral describes it as "bacterial SSU rRNA". It matches the Rfam family "Bacterial small subunit ribosomal RNA", at positions 1 to 428 of the family's 1533-position model. Lineage: Bacteria; Bacillati; Bacillota; Clostridia; Peptostreptococcales; Peptostreptococcaceae. The record is from RNAcentral.
UUAUUUGAGAGUUUGAUCCUGGCUCAGGAUGAACGCUGGCGGCGUGCCUAACACAUGCAAGUUGAGCGAUUUACUUCGGUAAAGAGCGGCGGACGGGUGAGUAACGCGUGGGUAACCUACCCUGUACACACGGAUAACAUACCGAAAGGUAUGCUAAUACGGGAUAAUAUAUUUGAGAGGCAUCUCUUAAAUAUCAAAGGUGAGCCAGUACAGGAUGGACCCGCGUCUGAUUAGCUAGUUGGUAAGGUAACGGCUUACCAAGGCGACGAUCAGUAGCCGACCUGAGAGGGUGAUCGGCCACAUUGGAACUGAGACACGGUCCAAACUCCUACGGGAGGCAGCAGUGGGGAAUAUUGCACAAUGGGCGAAAGCCUGAUGCAGCAACGCCGCGUGAGUGAUGAAGGCCUUCGGGUCGUAA